UACGUAGGGUGCAAGCGUUGUCCGGAAUUAUUGGGCGUAAAGAGCUCGUAGGCGGUUUGUCGCGUCUGCUGUGAAAACCCGAGGCUCAACCUCGGGCCUGCAGUGGGUACGGGCAGACUAGAGUGCGGUAGGGGAGAGUGGAAUUCCUGGUGUAGCGGUGGAAUGCGCAGAUAUCAGGAGGAACACCAAUGGCGAAGGCAGAUCUCUGGGCCGUAACUGACGCUGAGGAGCGAAAGCAUGGGGAGCAAACAGG
This 253-nucleotide ribosomal RNA is filed under the name uncultured bacterium. RNAcentral's name for it is "partial 16S ribosomal RNA". It matches the Rfam family "Bacterial small subunit ribosomal RNA", at positions 524 to 776 of the family's 1533-position model. The record is from RNAcentral.